GAUGAACGCUGGCGGCGUGCCUAAUACAUGCAAGUCGAGCGAACGGACGAGAAGCUUGCUUUUCUGAUGUUAGCGGCGGACGGGUGAGUAACACGUGGAUAACCUACCUAUAAGACUGGGAUAACUUCGGGAAACCGGAGCUAAUACCGGAUAAUAUUUUGAACCGCAUGGUUCAAAAGUGAAAGACGGUCUUGCUGUCACUUGUAGAUGGAUCCGCGCUGCAUUAGCUAGUUGGUAAGGUAACGGCUUACCAAGGCAACGAUGCAUAGCCGACCUGAGAGGGUGAUCGGCCACACUGGAACUGAGACACGGUCCAGACUCCUACGGGAGGCAGCAGUAGGGAAUCUUCCGCAAUGGGCGAAAGCCUGACGGAGCAACGCCGCGUGAGUGAUGAAGGUCUUCGGAUCGUAAAACUCUGUUAUUAGGGAAGAACAUAUGUGUAAGUAACUGUGCACAUCUUGACGGUACCUAAUCAGAAAGCCACGGCUAACUACGUG
Molecule: ribosomal RNA, 497 nt
Filed under: uncultured bacterium
Lineage: Bacteria
Description: partial 16S ribosomal RNA
Rfam family: Bacterial small subunit ribosomal RNA
Source: RNAcentral